AUUGAACGCUGGCGGCAGGCCUAACACAUGCAAGUCGAGCGAGCGGCGGACGGGUGAGUAAUGUAUGGGGACUGCCCGAUAGAGGGGGCUAACUACUGGAAACGGUGGCUAAUACCGCAUACUGUCGGAUAACCCAUAGUGGAUUAGCUAGUAGGUGGGGUAAAGGCUCACCUAGGCGACGAUCGCUAGCUGGUCUGAGAGGAUGAUCAGCCACACUGGGACUGAGACACGGCCCAGACUCCUACGGAGGCAGCAGUAGGGAAUCUUGCACAAUGGGCGAAAGCCUGAUGCAGCCAUGCCGCGUGUAUGAAGAAGGCCUUAGGGUUGUAAAGUUCUUUCGUCAGGGAAGCGUUACCCGCAGAAGAAGCCCCGGCUAACUCCGUGCCAGCCGCCGCGGUAAUUC
This 403-nucleotide ribosomal RNA is filed under the name uncultured bacterium. RNAcentral's name for it is "partial 16S ribosomal RNA". It matches the Rfam family "Bacterial small subunit ribosomal RNA", at positions 30 to 526 of the family's 1533-position model. The record is from RNAcentral.